AGGCCAAACAACUCUAAAAGCCUUUGCAUCUCUGCCACCGGGCCUGAUGUUACAGAAGCGAUGCUCCAGGUUUCCUCCCAAGAUGUCUUCACACCACGAGCCGUUGGUCCGGGGGCGGAGGAAGGCUCGGAUCCUCUGCUGCUGACCCACUCCGCAGGACCGUGAACAGGAGCGCCACUCCCCCCAUUCUGUCCACGAACAGUUCCUCUCCACACAUUCUGCCCCCACACACACAUCGUCUCCAUCUGGGAACAUAUUACAAAAGCCACAAGACUGCUUGACAGAGUCAUUGAAUAUAGUAAAAUAGCCUCGCUUAGUAUUAGUGUCAAUUGUGGUGCUUUGGUUUAAUUGCUGGUAUCUCAUCUCCUUUACAAUUUCAACCUUGUUGUUACAGUUUAAUAUAAUUACAGAUUUGUUUACUGUAUUUACAGUAAUAUCGCAAUAUGUAUUCAUUAAAUUGAAAACGGUACACAGAGCUCCUUUGAAACACAGAGCAGUUUAUUAAGUUUAAGUAUAUGUUUCAGUUUAGGCCAGAAACACAGCUGAAUCAUUUGAAUGUUACUCCUGUUUACCCCCUCCCUGGAAUAAAAACUUCAAACCGUAAA
Molecule: long non-coding RNA, 605 nt
Organism: Perca flavescens (yellow perch)
Lineage: Eukaryota; Metazoa; Chordata; Actinopteri; Perciformes; Percidae
Exons: 2
Source: RefSeq, a predicted model, not a curated record